Molecule: unclassified non-coding RNA, 488 nt
Filed under: Melitaea cinxia (Glanville fritillary)
Lineage: Eukaryota; Metazoa; Arthropoda; Insecta; Lepidoptera; Nymphalidae
Description: misc RNA ENSMCXG00005006916.1
Source: RNAcentral
GCCACACCCUAUCACACUAUUCAUCAGUUUGCUACACAAGUCAAGCGUGUGUAAAGAAGUUUUACUUCAAAAACUAGCGUGCGUAAAAAUAAAUAGUUACCAAAUCUGACUCCGAUUAUGAAUACCGAAAAUCUGGGCGUCACAUGAAAUUUCCAUAUACUAUGUCUGCUAAAAUUGCUCAAUUUCCAUAUUUCUUUUACAUGAAAAAUAAUAAUAUUUGGAUGUAUUAUCCGCUGGGAUGCUUAGUAUCGUUAUAUUUUAUUAUAAAAAUCCACGUUGUAGUAAAUUCAGAAGAAAAUGUAAAAUCUUGGGCUGAAUCACAACGUAGAGCUGCUGAAAAAGAACAUCAUUAAUAUGAACACGUAGAGCUGCUGAAAAAGAACAUUAAUAAUAUGAAUAUACUAUACACAAUAAAAACACCAAAAUGACUAAAUAAUAUAUACAUAUGUAGUUUCAUUUUAUAUUUUGCAUAAUUAUUUUGUCGUUUG